Molecule: ribosomal RNA, 512 nt
Filed under: uncultured bacterium
Lineage: Bacteria
Description: partial 16S ribosomal RNA
Rfam family: Bacterial small subunit ribosomal RNA
Source: RNAcentral
GUUGAACGCUGGCGGCGUGCCUAAUACAUGCAAGUCGAACGAAACUUCUUUAUCACCGAGUGCUUGCACUCACCGAUAAAGAGUUGAGUGGCGAACGGGUGAGUAACACGUGGGCAACCUGCCCAAAAGAGGGGGAUAACACUUGGAAACAGGUGCUAAUACCGCAUAACCAUAGUUACCGCAUGGUAACUAUGUAAAAGGUGGCUAUACUACCGCUUUUGGAUGGGCCCGCGGCGCAUUAGCUAGUUGGUAGGGUAAAGGCUUACCAAGGCAAUGAUGCGUAGCCGAAUUGAGAGGUUGAUCGGCCACAUUGGGACUGAGACACGGCCCAAACUCCUACGGGAGGCAGCAGUAGGGAAUCUUCCACAAUGGGCGAAAGCCUGAUGGAGCAACGCCGCGUGGGUGAAGAAGGUCUUCGGAUCGUAAAACCCUGUUGUUAGAGAAGAAAGUGCGUGAGAGUAACUGUUCACGUUUCGACGGUAUCUAACCAGAAAGCCACGGCUAACUACGUG